This 1922-nucleotide long non-coding RNA is filed under the name Theobroma cacao (cacao). Its description in RNAcentral is "long non-coding RNA (TCAC_LNC002957)". Lineage: Eukaryota; Viridiplantae; Streptophyta; Magnoliopsida; Malvales; Malvaceae. The record is from RNAcentral.
GGUAAAUAAUUUUUUUAGCGUAAAAGCUAAAUAAAUUCAUACAUACUGUAAUACAGAUAAUCAAAGUAUAAAAUUUAAUUUACAGUGACACAUGGGCCCACGAACAACCAAAAGUUUCAAAAGCGGUAAAUCUACAAUUUUUGAGAAUGCAAGUCCAACUGUAGCUCUCAACAAAGUGAGCUAUCUAUCGACUAUCCUGAGCCUGAAAUGGGUGGAAAAGAGGGUGGUGAGAUUAUAUAAUCCCAGUGAGUAAACAAAUACCAUCUAAAAAAUUUAAAGCUGAGUAAAUGGAGACAGAUAAAAUAGAUUAGCAUAAAAAUGAUUCACAGCAUUUCGAACUCAUUUUAAUAAGAUAAAAUAGAUUCAUUUCACCCAAAUAAACAACGAGGCUAUGAUUUCCUAAAAAGUUUGGCUCGUGCCAAAAUCAUUAUCAUACUCAGUUAUCAGGGAUACCUUGGCCGAGGGCUAUCCCAACCGAGUUCGCCAAGGCUGUUAAAAAGUCAUGUACACAUAAAUCAUGUUUUUAUUUUGAAAACAUAGCCGCUCCUUGGCGUUGGUUGAGUUCACCCUUACGUGGUGGUUUGGCAUGAAGUGAACUCUAAAAUUUUAACCUCAAGAGUUAUCCAACCGCGCCUCUCAUACUGAGGUAUGAAUAUAAUAGGGUUACUGUGCCCCUCUAAUAGGUUGGUCCAUGGAACUCGUCCACUGCAGCGAUCAAUUAUAACCCACCAAUUCAAUAAAAUUCAACAGCAUGACAUGGCAAUUAUUUUAUUUUAUAGCCUCUCAAGGCAAAUAACAGUUUAUACAUUUUCAACACAAAUACCAAUUUAGCCAUUCACGCCAAUAUUGCCAUAAGCCAAUCAAUUAGAACCAUAAAUUCACAAUACAUCAAAUGGUCUCCAAUUACUCUAUUUUCAAAGCCAUCAUUCAAUUUCAAGAUAAUUUAUAAAAUCAUUUCAUUUAAACACAUUUUGUUUAUAAAAUCUAAAAAUUAACCAUUUAAACUCAUUUUCCAUAAAAUUCACAAAAUCGAAUAAAAACUACUUUAGAUAAUUAAGACGAUAGCAAGGUUACUCACUAUUUCGGGAGUCGAAUUUCGGGUACUCUGAUUCUUGAUCCUCGGGUACUAUCUCUUUACUUUUGCCAGAAUGCUCACCACCUAGACAUAAUGCACAAUAAGCCAUUUACUACAUUUGUGCUACAUUGUUAUAAAACCAAUUCAGGCUCUAUCCUAAUGCAUGAAAUGGGAUGUCAAUUGUUCGGAUUAUCGUCUAAACACGGUGUUCUACACAAAUUCAAUUAUGUACCUAAAUAAAAUGGUAUUGACCUAAUUCAAUCUAUCACUCGAUUAAUUGGCCAAUAUGUCCAAUUCAACUCCAAGAAUUUCAUUUUUCUUCCAAUUCUCCAAACCAUCAAACACAAGUUAAAUAACUUGAAAUAUGGCAAAAUCAUCCUCACAUUUUCUCUUGGAAAAUUCAGCCAUAGUGGGUGCAUCAACACUAUAAUUUUUCAAGCUUGAUUCUCACACCAUAAAUCACUAAUUCCUAACCAAAUCACUUGAAAUAAAAUCAAAAUCAUCAUUAAUAUUCUACAUGGAGAAUUCGGCCAAUGACGGGUGAUGGGAGGAAGUGAAUUUUUCUUGUUGGCUUUUCAUACUAGACAUCACUAACUAACUAAAAACACUAAAAUACAUUGAAAUCUAACCAAAUCAACCAUCAAAAUCUCCCUCUAAGUGUUCGGCCAGCAUGGGAUUCAUCAUGAAAUCAUGUGAUUCAACCAUGGAAAAUAAGAAAAAAUGCUUAAGAAAGAGAGAUCUCAAGCUUAAUUGAAAAAUCUUACCUUUUUUUUCACUUGUUUCCUUGAAUUUUCACACUUUUCCCUUGAAUUUUUCCACCUAGGGUUUUGUUCUUGCUUUGACCGGC